UACGUAGGGUGCAAGCGUUAAUCGGAAUUACUGGGCGUAAAGCGUGCGCAGGCGGUUGUGUAAGACAGAUGUGAAAUCCCCGGGCUCAACCUGGGAACUGCAUUUGUGACUGCACAGCUGGAGUGCGGCAGAGGGGGAUGGAAUUCCGCGUGUAGCAGUGAAAUGCGUAGAUAUGCGGAGGAACACCGAUGGCGAAGGCAAUCCCCUGGGCCUGCACUGACGCUCAUGCACGAAAGCGUGGGGAGCGAAACAAGGAU
RNAcentral lists this ribosomal RNA (257 nucleotides) under uncultured bacterium. RNAcentral's name for it is "partial 16S ribosomal RNA". It matches the Rfam family "Bacterial small subunit ribosomal RNA", at positions 524 to 778 of the family's 1533-position model. The record is from RNAcentral.